CCCGACCGCUAUCGGGGUAGGGCUAAGCCAUGGGAGUUGUACACCCCCGGGAAGGGGGUGUGGCGGACGGCUGAGUAACACGUGGCUAACCUACCCUCGGGACGGGGAUAACCCCGGGAAACUGGGGAUAAUCCCCGAUAGGGGAAGAGUCCUGGAACGGUUCUUCCCCUAAAAGGCUAUGGGCUGUUCCCGCUCAUAGCCGCCCGAGGAUGGGGCUGCGGCCCAUCAGGCUGUUGGCGGGGUAAAGGCCCGCCAAACCUAUAACGGGUAGGGGCCGUGGGAGCGGGAGCCCCCAGUUGGGCACUGAGACAAGGGCCCAGGCCCUACGGGGCGCACCAGGCGCGAAACGUCCCCAAUGCGCGAGAGCGUGAGGGCGCUACCCCGAGUGCCUCCGAAAAGAGGCUUUUCCCCGCUCUAAUAAGGCGGGGGAAUAAGCGGGGGGCAAGUCUGGUGUCAGCCGCCGCGGUAAUACCAGCUCCGCGAGUGGUCGGGGCGCUUACUGGGCCUAAAGCGCCUGUAGCCGGCCCACCAAGUUACCCCUUAAAGACCCGAGCUCAACUCGGGGACUGGGGGUAAUACUGGUGGGCUAGGGGGCGGGAGAGGCGGGAGGUACUCCCGGAGUAGGGGCGAAAUCCGUAGAUACCGGGAGGACCACCAGUGGCGGAGGCGUCCCGCUAGAACGCGCCCGACGGUGAGAGGCGAAAGCCGGGGCAGCAAACGGGAUUAGAUACCCCGGUAGUCCCGGCUGUAAACAAUGCGGGCUAGGUGUCAGACGGGCUUAGAGCCCGUCUGGUGCCGCAGGGAAGCCGUUAAGCCCGCCGCCUGGGGAGUACGGUCGCAAGACUGAAACUUAAAGGAAUUGGGCGGGGGAGCACCACAAGGGGUGGAACCUGCGGCUCAAUUGGAGUCAACGCCUGGAAUCUUACCGGGGGAGACCGCAGGAUGACGGCCAGGCUAACGACCUUGCCCGACUC
RNAcentral lists this ribosomal RNA (974 nucleotides) under uncultured Stygiolobus sp. Its description in RNAcentral is "bacterial SSU rRNA". It matches the Rfam family "Archaeal small subunit ribosomal RNA", at positions 21 to 978 of the family's 1478-position model. Lineage: Archaea; Thermoproteati; Thermoproteota; Thermoprotei; Sulfolobales; Sulfolobaceae. The record is from RNAcentral.